This 232-nucleotide ribosomal RNA is filed under the name uncultured bacterium. Its description in RNAcentral is "partial 16S ribosomal RNA". It matches the Rfam family "Bacterial small subunit ribosomal RNA", at positions 99 to 334 of the family's 1533-position model. The record is from RNAcentral.
CGGACGGGUGAGCAAUGUCUGGGAAACUGCCUGAUGGAGGGGGAUAACUACUGGAAACGGUAGCUAAUACCGCAUAACGUCGCAAGACCAAAGAGGGGGACCUUAGGGCCUCUUGCCAUCGGAUGUGCCCAGAUGGGAUUAGCUAGUAGGUGGGGUAAAGGCUCACCUAGGCGACGAUCCCUAGCUGGUCUGAGAGGAUGACCAGCCACACUGGAACUGAGACACGGUCCAG